Molecule: non-coding RNA, 181 nt
Filed under: Desulfocicer vacuolatum
Lineage: Bacteria; Pseudomonadati; Thermodesulfobacteriota; Desulfobacteria; Desulfobacterales; Desulfobacteraceae
Source: RNAcentral
UGCUUUCCAGUGUUAUUAGGUGCUAUUGCUCAAUAGGGAAUUCCGUGAAAAUCGGAAACGGGCCCACCGCUGUGAUCGAGGACGAACACUGCAAUAUAUGCCACUGGAUUUAAUAUCCGGGAAGGCGCAGUCAGUAGAAUGAUCCGAAAGUCAGAAGACCUGCCUGAUGAACAGAGAUGAU